GAUGAACGCUGGCGGCGUGCCUAAUACAUGCAAGUCGAGCGAACAGACGAGGAGCUUGCUCCUCUGACGUUAGCGGCGGACGGGUGAGUAACACGUGGAUAACCUACCUAUAAGACUGGGAUAACUUCGGGAAACCGGAGCCAAUACCGGAUAAUAUAUUGAACCGCAUGGUUCAAUAGUGAAAGACGGUUUUGCUGUCACUUAUAGAUGGAUCCGCGCCGCAUUAGCUAGUUGGUAAGGUAACGGCUUACCAAGGCAACGAUGCGUAGCCGACCUGAGAGGGUGAUCGGCCACACUGGAACUGAGACACGGUCCAGACUCCUACGGGAGGCAGCAGGAGGGAAUCCUCCGCCAUGGGCGAAAGCCUGACGGGGCAACGCCGCGUGAGUGAUGAAGGUCUUCGGAUCGUAAAACUCUGUCAUUAGGGAAGAACAAAUGUGUAAGUAACUAUGCACGUCUUGACGGUACCUAAUCAGAAAGCCACGGCUAACUACGUG
Molecule: ribosomal RNA, 497 nt
Filed under: uncultured bacterium
Lineage: Bacteria
Description: partial 16S ribosomal RNA
Rfam family: Bacterial small subunit ribosomal RNA
Source: RNAcentral